RNAcentral lists this transfer-messenger RNA (401 nucleotides) under Flavobacterium terrigena. Its description in RNAcentral is "Standard tmRNA". It matches the Rfam family "transfer-messenger RNA". From Rfam's summary of the family: Bacterial tmRNA, also known as 10Sa RNA or SsrA, is named for its dual tRNA and mRNA-like properties. Its role is to liberate the mRNA from a stalled ribosome. The record is from RNAcentral. Lineage: Bacteria; Pseudomonadati; Bacteroidota; Flavobacteriia; Flavobacteriales; Flavobacteriaceae.
GGGGUCGACUGGUUUUGACAGCAAGUGGCACUAAUUAGUAAGCAUGUCGAGCAUUGUAUUUUUGGCUCGUAAAUAUCAAUUAUACACACUUUUUAAACGGCGAAAAUACUUACGCUUUAGCUGCAUAAUCAGAAUUAUAGUACGAUAAUGCCAAGUUCCUACUAGGUAGGAAAGCUGGAUUUCUCUCAAAAGCCUUGGUUUGUGGCGGUUGGUUAAGAGGAAUGGUAAAAAUAAACCUAGGAACGGUAAAACUUUAAAUCCGCUCUGACACUGAUAAAGUUAAGCAUGUAGUGGCUGUUUUUGGCCAAGCUGCAUGUCGAAAAUCUAAACAAAAACUAUACAUGUAGAAAGCUUUUUGAUGGCUUGUUUGGACGAGAGUUCGAUUCUCUCCGACUCCACAG